GAGCGGCGAACGGGUGAGUAACACGUGAGUAACCUGCCCCUGACUCUGGGAUAAGCCCGGGAAACUGGGUCUAAUACCGGAUAUGACACCUCCUCGCAUGGGGUGGGUGUGGAAAGUUUUUCGGUUGGGGAUGGACUCGCGGCCUAUCAGCUUGUUGGUGGGGUAAUGGCCUACCAAGGCGACGACGGGUAGCCGGCCUGAGAGGGCGACCGGCCACACUGGGACUGAGACACGGCCCAGACUCCUACGGGAGGCAGCAGUGGGGAAUAUUGCGCAAUGGGCGAAAGCCUGACGCAGCGACGCCGCGUGGGGGAUGACGGCCUUCGGGUUGUAAACCUCUUUCAGCAGGGACGAAGUUGACGUGUACCUGCAGAAGAAGCGCCGGCUAACUACGUGCCAGCAGCCGCGGUAAUACGUAGGGCGCAAGCGUUGUCCGGAAUUAUUGGGCGUAAAGAGCUCGUAGGUGGCUUGUCACGUCGGGUGUGAAAGCUUGGGGCUUAACUCCAGGUCUGCAUUCGAUACGGGCUGGCUAGAGGUAGGUAGGGGAGAACGGAAUUCCU
This 560-nucleotide ribosomal RNA is filed under the name Streptosporangium sp. 331D06. RNAcentral's name for it is "bacterial SSU rRNA". It matches the Rfam family "Bacterial small subunit ribosomal RNA", at positions 93 to 671 of the family's 1533-position model. Lineage: Bacteria; Bacillati; Actinomycetota; Actinomycetes; Streptosporangiales; Streptosporangiaceae. The record is from RNAcentral. RNAcentral also lists the same sequence under 2 other names.